AACGAACGCUGGCGGCAUGCCUAACACAUGCAAGUCGAACGAGACCUUCGGGUCUAGUGGCGCACGGGUGCGUAACGCGUGGGAACCUGCCCUUAGGUUCGGAAUAACUCCCCGAAAGGGGUGCUAAUACCGGAUAAUGUCUUCGGACCAAAGAUUUAUCGCCUUUGGAUGGGUCCGCGUUGGAUUAGCUAGUUGGUAGGGUAAAAGCCUACCAAGGCGACGAUCCAUAGCUGGUCUGAGAGGAUGAUCAGCCACACUGGGACUGAGACACGGCCCAGACUCCUACGGGAAGCAGCAGUGGGGAAUAUUGGACAAUGGGCGAAAGCCUGAUCCAGCAAUGCCGCGUGAGUGAUGAAGGCCUUAGGGUUGUAAAGCUCUUUUACCCGGGAUGAUAAUGACAGUACCGGGAGAAUAAGCUCCGGCUAACUCCGUG
This 433-nucleotide ribosomal RNA is filed under the name uncultured bacterium. RNAcentral's name for it is "partial 16S ribosomal RNA". It matches the Rfam family "Bacterial small subunit ribosomal RNA", at positions 29 to 507 of the family's 1533-position model. The record is from RNAcentral.